This 304-nucleotide ribosomal RNA is filed under the name uncultured bacterium. RNAcentral's name for it is "partial 16S ribosomal RNA". It matches the Rfam family "Bacterial small subunit ribosomal RNA", at positions 506 to 807 of the family's 1533-position model. The record is from RNAcentral.
CAGCAGCAGCCGCGGUAAUGCGAAGGGUGCAAGCGUUAAUCGGAAUUACUGGGCGUAAAGCGUGCGUAGGCGGUUUGUUAAGUCUGUUGUGAAAUCCCCGGGCUCAACCUGGGAAUGGCAAUGGAUACUGGCAAGCUAGAGUGUGUCAGAGGAUGGUGGAAUUCCCGGUGUAGCGGUGAAAUGCGUAGAGAUCGGGAGGAACAUCAGUGGCGAAGGCGGCCAUCUGGGACAACACUGACGCUGAGGCACGAAAGCGUGGGGAGCAAACAGGAUUAGAUACCCGUGUAGUCCCUGUCUCUUAUAC